AAAACCAGAUAUUAAGUAAGAUUACC
This 26-nucleotide ribosomal RNA is filed under the name Cryptosporidium muris. RNAcentral describes it as "partial 26S ribosomal RNA". The record is from RNAcentral. Lineage: Eukaryota; Apicomplexa; Conoidasida; Eucoccidiorida; Cryptosporidiidae.